Long non-coding RNA from Fukomys damarensis (Damara mole-rat), 740 nucleotides. RefSeq lists it as uncharacterized. The record is from RefSeq and is a predicted model, not a curated record. The transcript is spliced from 3 exons. NCBI's taxonomy places the organism in Eukaryota, Metazoa, Chordata, Mammalia, Rodentia, Bathyergidae.
UAGGGUCGGGAAGCUCGGCAGAAGAGAGUCAAAAGGCGUGCGGGUGGGAGGGAGGCUCACAGCAGUUCGGCAAAGGACUUCAGCCACGGACUGCAAAAGCGCCGGUGCACAGGGAGGGGAAGGAGAGGAUGCCGGAUGGAGACCGGGUUUAGGAGGAGGCUCAGGACUGGCAUCGGGGACAUGGGAAUCAACUCAUGCCGCAGAAUUUAGGAAUGAGGAGUGGAGAGAGCUGACGCGCAGGGUUUCCCAGCCUUCUGUCCGACGCGGCUUCCAGCUAAUCAGCGUGCGUUUUAUGAGCUUUCCCAGCUCUACUGAACUACGAGAAACAAUAAUGAAGAAAAGGUACAUUUCAUUAUACCUGGAUUAAUUCACCACAACGGUUCAAACAGCUGCCAAGUUUCCCGGGGCGGGGACUUUAAAGGCCACAAGCUUGCACGAACGUAGACUCUGAGAAGAAUUGGGGCCUUGAGUGCAGCGCUUUGUGUGCUCAGAGCAGCGCCGGGACACACAGAGGGGCCAGCCCUGCCUGCCCUGCCUGCCCUGCCUGCCAGGCGGGACUGCAGUGUGCAGGAAAGACCUGACUCGCUGGCUAGGGGAGAAAAGAAUGGAGGUGAACGAGACAGUCACUGAACAGAAUGGAGAGAUAAGCCCCCAGGGGUCAGUGAAUUUUCUCAACUUGGACAGAGGCACAGAAGGGUCAAGUGAUCUCUCCAAUAUCACACAGCAGGCAAGUGGCAAAG